This 357-nucleotide ribosomal RNA is filed under the name Triticum aestivum (bread wheat). RNAcentral describes it as "partial small subunit ribosomal RNA". Lineage: Eukaryota; Viridiplantae; Streptophyta; Magnoliopsida; Poales; Poaceae. The record is from RNAcentral.
UUAAAAGGAUGGAAGGAGAAAAUACUUUCAGUACAAGGUAAAGAAAUUCUAUUGAAAUCUGUUGCACAAGCUAUUCCGUCCUAUGCCAUGUCGGUAUUUAAAUUGCCUAAAGGAAUUUGCAAAUCAAUUACCGAUGAGAUAUCGGGUUUUUGGUGGGGAGAUGAAGAAGAAAAGAGGAAGAUGCACUGGUUUGCCUGGUGGAAAAUGUGCGUUCCGAAGAAGAAAGGUGGAAUGGGGUUUAGGGACCUUCACAACUUUAACCUUGCUAUGUUAGCAAAGCAGUGUUGGCGACUUCUUCAAAACCCUGAAUCUUUAUGUGCGCGAGUCCUAAGAGCCAAGUAUUUUCCGGAUGGUGAC